UAAAUAGCCAGGCCGUCUUUGGAUGGUCGCCGGCUUCUUAGAGGGACUGUCAGCGUCUAGCUGACGGAAGUUUGAGGCAAUAACAGGUCUGUGAUGCCCUUAGAUGUUCUGGGC
RNAcentral lists this ribosomal RNA (114 nucleotides) under Agaricales sp. RNAcentral describes it as "partial small subunit ribosomal RNA". It matches the Rfam family "Eukaryotic small subunit ribosomal RNA", at positions 1352 to 1487 of the family's 1831-position model. Lineage: Eukaryota; Fungi; Basidiomycota; Agaricomycetes; Agaricales. The record is from RNAcentral.